UACGGGGGGCGCAAGCGUUGCUCGGAAUCACUGGGCGUAAAGCGUCCGCAGGCGGCUUGGUAAGUCGGGUGUGAAAGCCCGGGGCUCAACCCCGGAACUGCAUUCGAAACUGCCUCGCUCGAGUACGGGAGAGGAUGGCGGAAUUCCUGGUGUAGAGGUGAAAUUCGUAGAUAUCAGGAGGAACACCGGUGGCGAAAGCGGCCAUCUGGCCCGAUACUGACGCUCAUGGACGAAAGCGUGGGGAGCAAACAGG
Molecule: ribosomal RNA, 253 nt
Filed under: uncultured bacterium
Lineage: Bacteria
Description: partial 16S ribosomal RNA
Rfam family: Bacterial small subunit ribosomal RNA
Source: RNAcentral